Xylaria sp. FL1777 is the source of this 94-nucleotide non-coding RNA. NCBI's taxonomy places the organism in Eukaryota, Fungi, Ascomycota, Sordariomycetes, Xylariales, Xylariaceae. The record is from the annotation of a GenBank genome assembly.
GCCUCUAUGGCACAGGGGUAAUGCGUGUCACUCGUAUAGUAAUUGAACUUGCGGUGUUAUGACAAGAUCCGCGGUUCGAUUCCGCGUGGAGGCA